CUGAGCUGUUUAUCUCCAAGUUCUUUCACUAUUUGGUAGGACUGGAUCUGGCAAACCUUACCAGACCCACAUGAGCAGUUGAAGUGGAACUACUCACUCCAAGGAGGAGUGCACAAGUGUCCUAAGCAAGUGUGGCAAUCAUCAUGAUGCAGAAACAACCCCUUCUCUAGAAUUGCCUUCCUCUGUGCUGGGGGUUGGCCUCUUAUGGGAACUAUUUCCCAGAAGGCUUUUCUGGGGCCUGGUUCCUCUAACUGUGACAGAGACAAGCAGCUGCAGCUGUGAAGUAGCCAUUUUGCAAGAGAAUGCUGCUGUCUGCAUCUCCCAGUUGUCCAGAUGUUUGAUGAAGAUUUAGCAGCAAGCGGGUGAAUCCAUGUAGCCCCUUUAACAAAUGCAGGCUUGGGGAAAACUCAAGGUCAUGACUGUUCUGAAUAAAAAUAGUGGCAUAGGAGACUUGGAUCAGAUACAAAGAAAAACCACUGUUUGUUACACUGUUCAUGAACCAGGAACUGGCAUGGAAGCAGAAGUUUAAUAUCCUUUCAUUCUUUUAAUUCUGUGUAUUAUUAGAACAGUUGCUAAACACUCUAAUGCUUUAAGAUCUGACCUUUUCUCCUGGCCAUACAGCUAAAACUCUCAUGAAGGCCUUCAUCAUCUGCCAUUUUGAUUAAUGUAACAUUCUCCUCAUUUGUCUCCCUGGUACCCACGUCACCAACCUCCAGUCCACACAAAACAGUUGUUAAGACUGUUGUCUUUGCCUGUCCAUCUGACCAGUGCCCUCUUUGAAUCCUUAUACUGCCUCCAUCUUCUCCACUUCAUCCAGCUCAAAUUUUCUGUGAUCACCUGCAUGGUCCUAUAUAACACUAUCCUUCCCUGUUUAUCCAUAACCGUAUCUAAUGCAAUUACCACUCUGUCCCCUCUGUUCUGCCAUUGUUGGCAGUUCCAUUACCCCUGCCACAACUAUCUUCUCCGCUUUCUCCCAUGCAGGUUUCUAUGCUGGGAAAACUUUGGUUUGCUCUAAGUUACAUUAAAGGCUGUUUUGGCCCCAAACUGGUCCAGAAUUAGGGGAGCAGAACAGUGUCUCAGACCUAGAGUUGGCCAGGAACUGGAUUUUCUGUUAUAUGGGAAAUGCCACAUUCUGAAAUGGAAAAAAAAUGAAAUUUUUUUGAAAUGUCCCAUGAAAUGUUAUUCAGAAAAAAAUUCCUGGUCGAUCCCAAUAUUGCUUUGAUAAAAUUAAAACAUUUUUGUUCUCAUUUUGACCUUUUAAACUUGACAGCUUUACAAAAUGUUUUUUAUAUAUUAUA
This is a non-coding RNA of Caretta caretta (loggerhead turtle), 1298 nucleotides long. The record is from RefSeq and is a predicted model, not a curated record. NCBI's taxonomy places the organism in Eukaryota, Metazoa, Chordata, Testudines, Cheloniidae.